RNAcentral lists this ribosomal RNA (228 nucleotides) under uncultured bacterium. RNAcentral's name for it is "partial 16S ribosomal RNA". It matches the Rfam family "Bacterial small subunit ribosomal RNA", at positions 568 to 796 of the family's 1533-position model. The record is from RNAcentral.
UGCGUAGGCGGUUUGUUAAGUCAUUUGUAAAAGAUCUCAGCUCAACUGAGUAAGGCGAAUGAAACUGGCAGACUUGAAUACGGUAGAGGUAAGUGGAAUUCCAUGUGUAGCGGUGGAAUGCGUAGAUAUAUGGAGGAACACCAAUGGCGAAGGCAACUUACUGGGCCGGAAUUGACGCUGAGGCACGAAAGCGUGGGGAGCGAACAGGAUUAGAUACCCUGGUAGUCC